This 271-nucleotide ribosomal RNA is filed under the name uncultured bacterium. RNAcentral's name for it is "partial 16S ribosomal RNA". It matches the Rfam family "Bacterial small subunit ribosomal RNA", at positions 524 to 794 of the family's 1533-position model. The record is from RNAcentral.
UACGUAGGGGGCGAGCGUUGUCCGGAGUUACUGGGCGUAAAGGGUGCGUAGGCGGUUGGAUAAGUCUGGUGUGAAAUCCCAUGGCUCAACCAUGGAACUGCACUGGAUACUGUCUGACUGGAGUUCGGUAGGGGUGACUGGAAUCCCCGGUGUAACGGUGAAAUGUAUAGAUAUCGGGGGGAACACCUGUGGCGAAGGCGGGUCACUGGGCCGCAACUGACGCUGAGACGCGAAAGCGUGGGGAGCAAACAGGAUUAGAAACCCUAGUAGU